This 496-nucleotide ribosomal RNA is filed under the name uncultured bacterium. RNAcentral describes it as "partial 16S ribosomal RNA". It matches the Rfam family "Bacterial small subunit ribosomal RNA", at positions 28 to 507 of the family's 1533-position model. The record is from RNAcentral.
GAUGAACGCUGGCGGCGUGCCUAAUACAUGCAAGUCGAGCGAACAGACGAGGAGCUUGCUCCUCUGACGUUAGCGGCGGACGGGUGAGUAACACGUGGAUAACCUACCUAUAAGACUGGGAUAACUUCGGGAAACCGGAGCUAAUACCGGAUAAUAUAUUGAACCGCAUGGUUCAAUAGUGAAAGACGGUUUUGCUGUCACUUAUAGAUGGAUCCGCGCCGCAUUAGCUAGUUGGUAAGGUAACGGCUUACCAAGGCAACGAUGCGUAGCCGACCUGAGAGGGUGAUCGGCCACACUGGAACUGAGACACGGUCCAGACUCCUACGGGAGGCAGCAGUAGGGAAUCUUCCGCAAUGGGCGAAAGCUUGACGGAGCAACGCCGCGUGAGUGAUGAAGGUCUUCGGAUCGUAAAACUCUGUUAUUAGGGAAGAACAAAUGUGUAAGUAACUAUGCACGUCUGACGGUACCUAAUCAGAAAGCCACGGCUAACUACGUG